UACGGAGGGGGCUAGCGUUAUUCGGAAUUACUGGGCGUAAAGCGCACGUAGGCGGCUAUUCAAGUCAGAGGUGAAAGCCUGGAGCUCAACUCCAGAACUGCCUUUGAAACUGGAUAGCUUGAAUCAUGGAGAGGUCAGUGGAAUUCCGAGUGUAGAGGUGAAAUUCGUAGAUAUUCGGAAGAACACCAGUGGCGAAGGCGACUGACUGGACAUGUAUUGACGCUCAUGCACGAAAGCGUGGGGAGCAAACAGG
RNAcentral lists this ribosomal RNA (253 nucleotides) under uncultured bacterium. RNAcentral describes it as "partial 16S ribosomal RNA". It matches the Rfam family "Bacterial small subunit ribosomal RNA", at positions 524 to 776 of the family's 1533-position model. The record is from RNAcentral.